AUGAACGCUGGCGGCGUGCCUAAUACAUGCAAGUCGAGCGAACAGACGAGGAGCUUGCUCCUCUGACGUUAGCGGCGGACGGGUGAGUAACACGUGGAUAACCUACCUAUAAGACUGGGAUAACUUCGGGAAACCGGAGCUAAUACCGGAUAAUAUAUUGAACCGCAUGGUUCAAUAGUGAAAGACGGUUUUGCUGUCACUUAUAGAUGGAUCCGCGCCGCAUUAGCUAGUUGGUAAGGUAACGGCUUACCAAGGCAACGAUGCGUAGCCGACCUGAGAGGGUGAUCGGCCACACUGGAACUGAGACACGGUCCAGACUCCUACGGGAGGCAGCAGUAGGUAAUCUUCCGCAAUGGGCGAAAGCCUGACGGAGCAACGCCGCGUGAGUGAUGAAGGUCUUCGGAUCGUAAAACUCUGUUAUUAGGGAAGAACAAAUGUGUAAGUAACUAUGCACGUCUUGACGGUACCUAAUCAGAAAGCCACGGCUAACUACGUG
RNAcentral lists this ribosomal RNA (496 nucleotides) under uncultured bacterium. RNAcentral describes it as "partial 16S ribosomal RNA". It matches the Rfam family "Bacterial small subunit ribosomal RNA", at positions 29 to 507 of the family's 1533-position model. The record is from RNAcentral.